AUUGAACGCUGGCGGCAGGCCUAACACAUGCAAGUCGAGCGAGCGGCGGACGGGUGAGUAAUGUAUGGGGACUGCCCGAUAGAGGGGGAUAACUACUGGAAACGGUAGCUAAUACCGCAUACUAUCGGAUAACCCAUAUGGGAUUAACUAGUAGGUGAGGAAAUGGCUCACCUAGGCGACGAUCCCUAGCUGGACUGAGAGGAUGAUCAGCCAGAGUGGGACUGAGAAACGGCCAAGAGUCAUACGGAGGCAGCAGUGGGAAGUAUUGGACAAAGGGGGCAAGCCUGAUGCAGCCAUGCAGGGUGUAUGAAGAAGGCCCUAGGAUUGUAAAGUACUUUCAGUCGGGAGGCGUUACCGACAGAAGAAGCACCGGCUAACUCCGUGCCAGCAGCCGCGGUAAUUC
Molecule: ribosomal RNA, 403 nt
Filed under: uncultured bacterium
Lineage: Bacteria
Description: partial 16S ribosomal RNA
Rfam family: Bacterial small subunit ribosomal RNA
Source: RNAcentral